AACCUGCCUAGCAGAGCGACCAGCGAACAUGUUUAUCAUGCAUGGGAUGGGGGUGAAAGCCCUUGUCCCACGUCAAGGAGGCACUCCACUUUGGUGGAGCGCCCUCUUGGCACAAUAACGAACCCCGGCGCGGUAUGCGCCAAGGAACAUGGAUACAAGUGUGCCCUUCCAUGCCUAGUACGCUGGGUAUGGGGGUGGCAACAAGUCGUAUAUAACAUUAAACGACUCUCGGCAACGGAUAUCUCGGCUCUCGCAUCGAUGAAGAACGUAGCGAAAUGCGAUACUUGGUGUGAAUUGCAGAAUCCCGUGAACCAUCGAGUCUUUGAACGCAAGUUGCGCCCGAAACCUUAGGGUCGAGGGCACGCCUGCCUGGGCGUCACGCAUCGCGUCUCCCCCAACCCACCAAGUGUGGGAAGGGUGGAGGAGGAUGGCCUCCCAUGCCUCACCGGGCGUGGAUGGCUUAAAUAAGGAGCCCCCGGUUGCGAGAUGCCGCGGCGAUUGGUGGUAGACAAGGCCUAGCCUAGGAUGCAUCGCGCCGCACACCACGUAGCUCUCGAGGUCUCGCAGGACCCUUAGUUGUUUUCCUCUUGAGGUGACAAACCGUUGCGA
RNAcentral lists this ribosomal RNA (609 nucleotides) under Oxybasis glauca. RNAcentral describes it as "eukaryotic LSU rRNA". The stretch from base 224 to 379 matches the Rfam family "5.8S ribosomal RNA". Lineage: Eukaryota; Viridiplantae; Streptophyta; Magnoliopsida; Caryophyllales; Amaranthaceae. The record is from RNAcentral.